This 1963-nucleotide ribosomal RNA is filed under the name human gut metagenome. RNAcentral's name for it is "bacterial LSU rRNA". It matches the Rfam family "Bacterial large subunit ribosomal RNA", at positions 1 to 1991 of the family's 2925-position model. The record is from RNAcentral.
UUAAGCGACUAAGCGUACACGGUGGAUGCCCUGGCAGUCAGAGGCGAUGAAGGACGUGCUAAUCUGCGAUAAGCGUCGGUAAGGUGAUAUGAACCGUUAUAACCGGCGAUUUCCGAAUGGGGAAACCCAGUGUGAUUCGUCACACUAUCAUUAACUGAAUCCAUAGGUUAAUGAGGCGAACCGGGGGAACUGAAACAUCUAAGUACCCCGAGGAAAAGAAAUCAACCGAGAUUCCCCCAGUAGCGGCGAGCGAACGGGGAGCAGCCCAGAGCCUGAAUCAGUGUGUGUGUUAGUGGAAGCGUCUGGAAAGGCGCGCGAUACAGGGUGACAGCCCCGUACACAAAAAUGCACAUGCUGUGAGCUCGAUGAGUAGGGCGGGACACGUGGUAUCCUGUCUGAAUAUGGGGGGACCAUCCUCCAAGGCUAAAUACUCCUGACUGACCGAUAGUGAACCAGUACCGUGAGGGAAAGGCGAAAAGAACCCCGGCGAGGGGAGUGAAAAAGAACCUGAAACCGUGUACGUACAAGCAGUGGGAGCACCUUCGGGUGUGACUGCGUACCUUUUGUAUAAUGGGUCAGCGACUUAUAUUCUGUAGCAAGGUUAACCGAAUAGGGGAGCCGAAGGGAAACCGAGUCUUAACUGGGCGUUAAGUUGCAGGGUAUAGACCCGAAACCCGGUGAUCUAGCCAUGGGCAGGUUGAAGGUUGGGUAACACUAACUGGAGGACCGAACCGACUAAUGUUGAAAAAUUAGCGGAUGACUUGUGGCUGGGGGUGAAAGGCCAAUCAAACCGGGAGAUAGCUGGUUCUCCCCGAAAGCUAUUUAGGUAGCGCCUCGUGAAUUCAUCUCCGGGGGUAGAGCACUGUUUCGGCAAGGGGGUCAUCCCGACUUACCAACCCGAUGCAAACUGCGAAUACCGGAGAAUGUUAUCACGGGAGACACACGGCGGGUGCUAACGUCCGUCGUGAAGAGGGAAACAACCCAGACCGCCAGCUAAGGUCCCAAAGUCAUGGUUAAGUGGGAAACGAUGUGGGAAGGCCCAGACAGCCAGGAUGUUGGCUUAGAAGCAGCCAUCAUUUAAAGAAAGCGUAAUAGCUCACUGGUCGAGUCGGCCUGCGCGGAAGAUGUAACGGGGCUAAACCAUGCACCGAAGCUGCGGCAGCGACGCUUAUGCGUUGUUGGGUAGGGGAGCGUUCUGUAAGCCUGCGAAGGUGUGCUGUGAGGCAUGCUGGAGGUAUCAGAAGUGCGAAUGCUGACAUAAGUAACGAUAAAGCGGGUGAAAAGCCCGCUCGCCGGAAGACCAAGGGUUCCUGUCCAACGUUAAUCGGGGCAGGGUGAGUCGACCCCUAAGGCGAGGCCGAAAGGCGUAGUCGAUGGGAAACAGGUUAAUAUUCCUGUACUUGGUGUUACUGCGAAGGGGGGACGGAGAAGGCUAUGUUGGCCGGGCGACGGUUGUCCCGGUUUAAGCGUGUAGGCUGGUUUUCCAGGCAAAUCCGGAAAAUCAAGGCUGAGGCGUGAUGACGAGGCACUACGGUGCUGAAGCAACAAAUGCCCUGCUUCCAGGAAAAGCCUCUAAGCAUCAGGUAACAUCAAAUCGUACCCCAAACCGACACAGGUGGUCAGGUAGAGAAUACCAAGGCGCUUGAGAGAACUCGGGUGAAGGAACUAGGCAAAAUGGUGCCGUAACUUCGGGAGAAGGCACGCUGAUAUGUAGGUGAAGCGACUUGCUCGUGGAGCUGAAAUCAGUCGAAGAUACCAGCUGGCUGCAACUGUUUAUUAAAAACACAGCACUGUGCAAACACGAAAGUGGACGUAUACGGUGUGACGCCUGCCCGGUGCCGGAAGGUUAAUUGAUGGGGUUAGCGGUAACGCGAAGCUCUUGAUCGAAGCCCCGGUAAACGGCGGCCGUAACUAUAACGGUCCUAAGGUAGCGAAAUUCCUUGUCGGGUAAGUUCCGACCUGC